This 400-nucleotide transfer-messenger RNA is filed under the name Dysgonamonadaceae bacterium. It matches the Rfam family "transfer-messenger RNA". From Rfam's summary of the family: Bacterial tmRNA, also known as 10Sa RNA or SsrA, is named for its dual tRNA and mRNA-like properties. Its role is to liberate the mRNA from a stalled ribosome. To accomplish this part of the tmRNA is used as a reading frame that ends in a translation stop signal. The record is from RNAcentral. Lineage: Bacteria; Pseudomonadati; Bacteroidota; Bacteroidia; Bacteroidales; Dysgonomonadaceae.
GGGCUUGACCGGUUUUGACAGCGGGCAGAAAUGGUUUGUAAGCAUGCAGUGCGUCGUUGAUCGGCACUAUAAUCUCGGUUGAUAAAAAUUUAACUGGCGAAAACAACUACGCUCUCGCAGCUUGAUUGAAGCAAAGUAAAUCAUAAGCGUAAUUUCGGUGCAAGGCGCCGGAACGAGAUGUCACCCGGAAGCUCUGGCUUCGAAGCAAUCCGAAACGGUGGCACAGCAAUAUCGAAGAUAGUCCGGAGAAAGUCCCGAUCUCAGGAUGAAAUUCAGGGAAUAAGCUUGACAUUGGUGGCUUCGGUCUUGUGUCAAGUCGAAAACCAAGGCGAAGAUAAGCAUGUAGAAAGCAGAUGAUUUCCUCGUUUGGACGAGGGUUCGAAUCCCUCCAGGUCCACGA